GGGAUAACUCCGGGAAACCGGGGCUAAUACCGGAUGCUUGAUUGAACCGCAUGGUUCAAUCAUAAAAGGUGGCUUUUAGCUACCACUUGCAGAUGGACCCGCGGCGCAUUAGCUAGUUGGUGAGGUAACGGCUCACCAAGGCGACGAUGCGUAGCCGACCUGAGAGGGUGAUCGGCCACACUGGGACUGAGACACGGCCCAGACUCCUACGGGAGGCAGCAGUAGGGAAUCUUCCGCAAUGGACGAAAGUCUGACGGAGCAACGCCGCGUGAGUGAUGAAGGUUUUCGGAUCGUAAAACUCUGUUGUUAGGGAAGAACAAGUACCGUUCGAAUAGGGCGGCACCUUGACGGUACCUAACCAGAAAGCCACGGCUAACUACGUGCCAGCAGCCGCGGUAAUACGUAGGUGGCAAGCGUUGUCCGGAAUUAUUGGGCGUAAAGCGCGCGCAGGCGGUUUCUUAAGUCUGAUGUGAAAGCCCCCGGCUCAACCGGGGAGGGUCAUUGGAAACUGGGGAACUUGAGUGCAGAAGAGGAGAGUGGAAUUCCACGUGUAGCGGUGAAAUGCGUAGAGAUGUGGAGGAACACCAGUGGCGAAGGCGACUCUCUGGUCUGUAACUGACGCUGAGGCGCGAAAGCGUGGGGAGCGAACAGGAUUAGAUACCCUGGUAGUCCACGCCGUAAACGAUGAGUGCUAAGUGUUAGAGGGUUUCCGCCCUUUAGUGCUGCAGCAAACGCAUUAAGCACUCCGCCUGGGGAGUACGGUCGCAAGACUGAAACUCAAAGGAAUUGACGGGGGCCCGCACAAGCGGUGGAGCAUGUGGUUUAAUUCGAAGCAACGCGAAGAACCUUACCAGGUCUUGACAUCCUCUGACAACCCUAGAGAUAGGGCUUCCCCUUCCGGGGCAGAGUGACAGGUGUUUCAUGGUUGUCGUCAGCUCCUGUCCUGAGAUGUUGGGUUAAGUCCCGCAACCACCGCAACCCUUGAUCUUAGUUGCCACCAUUCAAUUGGCCCUCUAAGGUAACUGCCCGUGACAACCCGGACGAAAGUAGGGGAUGAGGUCGAAUCAUCAUGCCCCUUAUGACCUGGCCUACACCGUGCU
RNAcentral lists this ribosomal RNA (1100 nucleotides) under Bacillus licheniformis. RNAcentral's name for it is "bacterial SSU rRNA". It matches the Rfam family "Bacterial small subunit ribosomal RNA", at positions 140 to 1226 of the family's 1533-position model. Lineage: Bacteria; Bacillati; Bacillota; Bacilli; Caryophanales; Bacillaceae. The record is from RNAcentral.